This 485-nucleotide ribosomal RNA is filed under the name uncultured bacterium. RNAcentral's name for it is "partial 16S ribosomal RNA". It matches the Rfam family "Bacterial small subunit ribosomal RNA", at positions 28 to 507 of the family's 1533-position model. The record is from RNAcentral.
GACGAACGCUGGCGGCGUGCUUAACACAUGCAAGUCGAACGGUGAAGCGCCUUCCUUUUGGGGUGCUGGGGUGGCGAAGGGAACGGGAGCGUGACACUAACGUGACCUUCACCCUUCUUUUGGUUAACCGCACGAAAGCUUAUCUCAUACAGGAGAUCCUGCUUCAGCCGCAGGGUGGGAAUGGUUCAGCGGUUGGUUAUGGGCUCGCGGCGGAUCCGCUUGGUGGUGGGGUGGUGGCCUACCAAGGCUGUGACGGGGAGCCGGCCUGAGAGGGUGGACGGUCACACUGGGACUGAGACACGGCCCAGACUCCUACGGGAGGCAGCAGUGGGGAAUAUUGCACAAUGGGCGCAAGCCUGAUGCAGCGACGCCGCGUGAGGGAUGGAGGCCUUCGGGUUGUGAACCUCUUUCGCCAGUGAAGCAGGCCUGCCUCGUUUGUGGGUGGGUUGACGGUAGCUGGAUAAGAAGCGCCGGCUAACUACGUG